Long non-coding RNA from Labrus mixtus (cuckoo wrasse), 761 nucleotides. RefSeq lists it as uncharacterized. The transcript has 3 exons. NCBI's taxonomy places the organism in Eukaryota, Metazoa, Chordata, Actinopteri, Labriformes, Labridae. The record is from RefSeq and is a predicted model, not a curated record.
GUCUCUGAACACAUCAUGCAUUGCCUUUGUUUGGACUCCGGUUUCAACACCUUUUUGGGUGCAGACAGCUGGUGAGAGGAUCCCCACAGUCAGCCUCUUUGCAGCUGUGUGGCUCUACCUGUCUGUGAAAUCGACAAAGGGUUAAGUAUGGGUGUUCCCAUUUUCCCUCUCACUCCCCCCACAGCCUCUAAUCUCUCUCACUCUCUCCUCUCCUCACUACCAAGGAGCUUUGGAGAGACUCCUAAGAACAAAGCUAUAUAUACACCUUGGGAGGGAAAACUGAGGGAACUUGCUUAAGGAUAUAUUCUGACAUUAUAGUGAAAAGAAAACAAGCCAGGGUCACCAGGAGUUUCCACUGUGUAAAAGCUUCCAUCGUGACCAAUAAAAUUUUCGAACAUUGGAUUAAGUUUCUUGUUAACCAGGUACCCAGCCUGCACUUUGCCGGGUUGUGUGUGUUGGCCGCGAGCCCUGGGAAAGUCGCCGGGUAUGUAGCUAAAGAAAGUAACUCCAACUAGAGUUGACCUGAGGCAAGUAUGCGUGGAGAAGUCUACUCUGUAUUUAGGCUAAAUGGCACCAUUUAAACAAGAAGCCUUUGUUUAUCCCUGCGGCCGGCUGCUAUCGCCUUCCAAAGCUGUUUGGAUUAUUUUGCAUCCACAGCCCCCGUUACUGUGAUGAGCGUAGGACUCUUGUGCAGAACUCCUCAGGAAUUGGUUCACGGUGAUGUGCGAGUGUGUCCUUUGGGGUCAAGAUGUGAAAAUCCU